This 193-nucleotide unclassified non-coding RNA is filed under the name soil metagenome. RNAcentral describes it as "partial contains 5.8S ribosomal RNA, internal transcribed spacer 2, and large subunit ribosomal RNA". The record is from RNAcentral.
AACGCACGAGACCUGCGGACCUGCGGAAGGAUCAUUAUCGAGUUAUCCAACUCCCAACCCCUGUGAAUUAUACCUUUAAUUGUUGCUUCGGCGGGACUUCGCGCCCGCCGGGGACCCAAACCUUCUGAAUUUUUUAAUAAGUAUCUUCUGAGUGGUUAAAAAAAUGAAUCAAAACUUUCAACAACGGAUCUCU